Molecule: ribosomal RNA, 406 nt
Filed under: uncultured microorganism
Description: bacterial SSU rRNA
Rfam family: Bacterial small subunit ribosomal RNA
Source: RNAcentral
GAGUUUGAUCGUGGCUCAGAUUGAACGCUAGCGGGAUGCCUUACACAUGCAAGUCGAACGGCAGCACGGACUUCGGUCUGGUGGCGAGUGGCGAACGGGUGAGUAAUGUAUCGGAACGUGCCUAGUAGCGGGGGGAUAACUACGCGAAAGCGUAGCUAAUACCGCAUACGCCCUACGGGGAAAGGCAGGGGAUCGCAAGACCUUGCACUAUUAGAGCGGCCGAUAUCGGAUUAGCUAGUUGGUGGGGUAACGGCUCACCAAGGCGACGAUCCGUAGCUGGUUUGAGAGGACGACCAGCCACACUGGGACUGGGACACGGCCCAGACUCCUACGGGAGGCAGCAGUGGGGAAUUUUGGACAAUGGGGGAAACCCUGAUCCAGCCAUCCCGCGUGUGCGAUGAAGGCC